RNAcentral lists this ribosomal RNA (2732 nucleotides) under Streptococcus pneumoniae. RNAcentral describes it as "23S ribosomal RNA". It matches the Rfam family "Bacterial large subunit ribosomal RNA". Lineage: Bacteria; Bacillati; Bacillota; Bacilli; Lactobacillales; Streptococcaceae. The record is from RNAcentral.
UUAAGUUAAUAAGGGCGCACGGUGGAUGCCUUGGCACUAGGAGCCGACGAAGGACGUGACAAACGACGAUAUGCCUUGGGUAGCUGUAAGUAAGCGAUGAUCCAGGGAUUUCCGAAUGGGGGAACCCAACAGGUAAUACCUGUUACCUACAUCUGUUAAGGAUGUGAGGAGGAAGACGCAGUGAACUGAAACAUCUAAGUAGCUGCAGGAAGAGAAAGCAAAAGCGAUUGCCUUAGUAGCGGCGAGCGAAACGGCAGAAGGGCAAACCGAAGAGUUUACUCUUCGGGGUUGUAGGACUGCAAUGUGGACUCAAAGAUUAUAGAAGAAUGAUUUGGGAAGAUCAGCCAAAGAGAGUAAUAGCCUCGUAUUUAAAAUAGUCUUUGUACUUAGCAGUAUCCUGAGUACGGCGGGACACGUGAAAUCCCGUCGGAAUCUGGGAGGACCAUCUCCCAACCCUAAAUACUCCCUAGUGACCGAUAGUGAACCAGUACCGUGAGGGAAAGGUGAAAAGCACCCCGGGAGGGGAGUGAAAUAGAACCUGAAACCGUGUGCCUACAACAAGUUCGAGCCCGUUAAUGGGUGAGAGCGUGCCUUUUGUAGAAUGAACCGGCGAGUUACGUUAUGAUGCGAGGUUAAGUUGAAGAGACGGAGCCGUAGGGAAACCGAGUCUGAAUAGGGCGCCUUAGUAUCAUGACGUAGACCCGAAACCAUGUGACCUACCCAUGAGCAGGUUGAAGGUGCGGUAAGACGCACUGGAGGACCGAACCAGGGCACGUUGAAAAGUGCUUGGAUGACUUGUGGGUAGCGGAGAAAUUCCAAACGAACUUGGAGAUAGCUGGUUCUCUCCGAAAUAGCUUUAGGGCUAGCGUCGACAUUAGAGAUUCUUGGAGGUAGAGCACUGUUUGGGUGAGGGGUCCAUCCCGGAUUACCAAUCUCAGAUAAACUCCGAAUGCCAAUGAAUUAUGGUCGGCAGUCAGACUGCGAGUGCUAAGAUCCGUAGUCGAAAGGGAAACAGCCCAGACCACCAGCUAAGGUCCCAAAAUAAUUGUUAAGUGGAAAAGGAUGUGGGGUUGCACAGACAACUAGGAUGUUAGCUUAGAAGCAGCUAUUCAUUCAAAGAGUGCGUAAUAGCUCACUAGUCGAGUGACCCUGCGCCGAAAAUGUACCGGGGCUAAAACAAUUUACCGAAGCUGUGGAUACCUUUAUAGGUAUGGUAGGAGAGCGUUCUAUGUGUGAUGAAGGUAUACCGUGAGGAGUGCUGGAACGCAUAGAAGUGAGAAUGCCGGUAUGAGUAGCGAAAGACAGGUGAGAAUCCUGUCCACCGUAAGACUAAGGUUUCCAGGGGAAGGCUCGUCCGCCCUGGGUUAGUCGGGACCUAAGGAGAGACCGAAAGGUGUAUCCGAUGGACAACAGGUUGAUAUUCCUGUACUAGAGUAUGUAGUGAUGGAGGGACGCAGUAGGCUAACUAAAGCAGACGAUUGGAAGAGUCUGUCUAAGCAGUGAGGUGUGAAUUGAGUCAAAUGCUUAAUUCUAUAACAUUGAGCUGUGAUGGGGAGCGAAGUUUAGUAGCGAAGUUAGUGACGUCACACUGCCAAGAAAAGCUUCUAGCGUUUAAACAUACUCUACCCGUACCGCAAACCGACACAGGUAGUCGAGGCGAGUAGCCUCAGGUGAGCGAGAGAACUCUCGUUAAGGAACUCGGCAAAAUGACCCCGUAACUUCGGGAGAAGGGGUGCUGACUUUAAGUCAGCCGCAGUGAAUAGGCCCAAGCAACUGUUUAUCAAAAACACAGCUCUCUGCUAAAUCGUAAGAUGAUGUAUAGGGGGUGACGCCUGCCCGGUGCUGGAAGGUUAAGAGGAGUGCUUAGCGUAAGCGAAGGUAUGAAUUGAAGCCCCAGUAAACGGCGGCCGUAACUAUAACGGUCCUAAGGUAGCGAAAUUCCUUGUCGGGUAAGUUCCGACCCGCACGAAAGGCGUAAUGAUUUGGGCACUGUCUCAACGAGAGACUCGGUGAAAUUUUAGUACCUGUGAAGAUGCAGGUUACCCGCGACAGGACGGAAAGACCCCAUGGAGCUUUACUGCAGUUUGAUAUUGAGUGUCUGUACCACAUGUACAGGAUAGGUAGGAGUCUAAGAGAUCGGGACGCCAGUUUCGAAGGAGACGCUGUUGGGAUACUACCCUUGUGUUAUGGCCACUCUAACCCAGAUAGGUGAUCCCUAUCGGAGACAGUGUCUGACGGGCAGUUUGACUGGGGCGGUCGCCUCCUAAAAGGUAACGGAGGCGCCCAAAGGUUCCCUCAGAAUGGUUGGAAAUCAUUCGCAGAGUGUAAAGGUAUAAGGGAGCUUGACUGCGAGAGCUACAACUCGAGCAGGGACGAAAGUCGGGCUUAGUGAUCCGGUGGUUCCGUAUGGAAGGGCCAUCGCUCAACGGAUAAAAGCUACCCUGGGGAUAACAGGCUUAUCUCCCCCAAGAGUUCACAUCGACGGGGAGGUUUGGCACCUCGAUGUCGGCUCGUCGCAUCCUGGGGCUGUAGUCGGUCCCAAGGGUUGGGCUGUUCGCCCAUUAAAGCGGCACGCGAGCUGGGUUCAGAACGUCGUGAGACAGUUCGGUCCCUAUCCGUCGCGGGCGUAGGAAAUUUGAGAGGAUCUGCUCCUAGUACGAGAGGACCAGAGUGGACUUACCGCUGGUGUACCAGUUGUCUUGCCAAAGGCAUCGCUGGGUAGCUAUGUAGGG